This 913-nucleotide ribosomal RNA is filed under the name uncultured bacterium. Its description in RNAcentral is "bacterial SSU rRNA". It matches the Rfam family "Bacterial small subunit ribosomal RNA", at positions 8 to 916 of the family's 1533-position model. The record is from RNAcentral.
AGAGUUUGAUCAUGGCUCAGAAUGAACGCUGGCGGCGUGGAUUAGGCAUGCAAGUCGAACGCGAAAGUUUCCCUUCGGGGGAGCAAGUAGAGUGGCGAAAGGGUGAGUAAUGCUUGGACGACCUACCCUAGGGUCGGGGACAACAAUUCGAAAGGAUUGCUAAUACCCGAUAGUCCGGCCUGAUUACGGUCAGGUCGGUAAAGGUGAUUCCGCCCGUGGAGGGGUCCAAGUCCUAUCAGCUUGUUGGUGAGGUAAUGGCUCACCAAGGCGAUGACGGGUAGCCGGACUGAGAGGUUGGCCGGCCACAUGGGAACUGAGACACUGUCCUGACUCCUACGGGAGGCUGCAGUCGAGAAUCUUCUGCAAUGGGCGAAAGCCUGACAGAGCGACGCCGCGUGGAGGAUGAAGGCCCUCGGGUCGUAAACUCCUGUCACAUGUUAAGAAAAGUACAGGUCUACCUGUGCUCUGACAAAUGCAUGAGAGGAAGUCACGGCUAACUUCGUGCCAGCAGCCGCGGUAAGACGAAGGUGGCGAGCGUUAUUCGGAUUUACUGGGCAUAAAGCGCGCGUAGGCGGCUCGGUCAGUCGGAGGUGAAAGCCCACAGCUCAACUGUGGAACUGCCCUCGAUACUGCCGAGCUUGAGUGCAGGAGAGGUGACCGGAACUCCAGGUGUAGCGGUGAAAUGCGUAGAUAUCUGGAGGAACACCAGAGGCGAAGGCGGGUCACUGGACUGCAACUGACGCUGAGGUGCGAAAGCUAGGGGAGCGAACAGGAUUAGAUACCCUGGUAGUCCUAGCUGUAAACGAUGGGUACUGGGCAAUGGUCGUCCGAUGCGAUCGUUGUCGAAGCUAAUGUGCUAAGUACCCCGCCUGGGGAGUACGGCCGCAAGGCUGAAACUUAAAGGAAUUGACGG